RNAcentral lists this transfer RNA (76 nucleotides) under Candidatus Collierbacteria bacterium RIFOXYB1_FULL_49_13. RNAcentral describes it as "tRNA-Arg". It matches the Rfam family "tRNA". Rfam says of the family: Transfer RNA (tRNA) molecules are approximately 80 nucleotides in length. Their secondary structure includes four short double-helical elements and three loops (D, anti-codon, and T loops). Lineage: Bacteria; Candidatus Collieribacteriota. The record is from RNAcentral.
GCACUCGUAGCUCAAUGGAUAGAGCGCUUCCCUGCGAAGGAAGAAGUUGUGCGUUCAAGUCGCACCGAGUGCACCU